CACGUAGUUAGCCGUGGCUUAUUCCUCAGGUACCGUCAUCUGUUCGUCCCUGAGAAAAGAAGUUUACAACCCGAAAGCCUUCUUCCUUCGCGCGGCGUUGCUGGGUCAGGCUUGCGCCCAUUGCCCAAUAUUCCCCACUGCUGCCUCCCGUAGGAGUCUGGGCCGUGUCUCAGUCCCAAUGUGGCCGGCCAACCUCUCAGUCCGGCUACUGAUCGUCGCCUUGGUGGGCCGUUGCCCCGCCAACUAGCUAAUCAGACGCGAGCCCAUCUCAGAGCGAUAAAUCUUUGGCAGUCAGAGCCAUGUGGCCCAAUGCAUCAUGCGUAUUAGCAGAUGUUUCCAUCUGUUACUCCCAUCCAGCAGUUGCUCACGCGUUACUCACCCGUCCGCCACUACGGCACUUCCCCCGCUACGUUCGUACCGAAAACCGUUCCGUUUUACGGGGGUCGUCCCCGUUCGUACCGUUGCUAGUGUGUUAAGCCGACGCCGCCAGCGUUCACUCCGU
Molecule: ribosomal RNA, 502 nt
Filed under: uncultured Oscillospiraceae bacterium
Lineage: Bacteria; Bacillati; Bacillota; Clostridia; Eubacteriales; Oscillospiraceae
Description: partial 16S ribosomal RNA
Source: RNAcentral